Flammeovirga sp. SJP92 is the source of this 383-nucleotide non-coding RNA. It matches the Rfam family "Bacterial RNase P class A". Rfam says of the family: Ribonuclease P (RNase P) is a ubiquitous endoribonuclease, found in archaea, bacteria and eukarya as well as chloroplasts and mitochondria. Its best characterised activity is the generation of mature 5'-ends of tRNAs by cleaving the 5'-leader elements of precursor-tRNAs. Lineage: Bacteria; Pseudomonadati; Bacteroidota; Cytophagia; Cytophagales; Flammeovirgaceae. The record is from Rfam.
AACGUGCGUUGCCUUGUCGCUUCAGUAAUGAAGAGGAAAGUCCGAGCAUCACAGAGCGUCACACUUCCUAACGGGAAGGCACUCAGCAAUGGGUGACAGAAAGUGCAACAGAAAGUAAACCGCCUUCGGGUAAGGGUGAAAUGGUGAGGUAAGAGCUCACCGCGUUGGUGGCAACACGAACGGCAUGGUAAACCUUGUGAGAUGAAAGACCAAAUAGGUCUUAUUGUCCUUCGGGAAUGAAGUUGCUCGCUUCAUUGUCUUCACAGACAGAUAAGAUGGGUAGGUCGAUGGAGCCUGUGAGCGAUUGCAGGCCUAGAUAAAUGACAGGGACCACAUUGCUUGCAAUGGAGGUACAGAACUCGGCUUAUAGACGCACGUUUUUA